This 311-nucleotide unclassified non-coding RNA is filed under the name Hevea brasiliensis (rubber tree). Lineage: Eukaryota; Viridiplantae; Streptophyta; Magnoliopsida; Malpighiales; Euphorbiaceae. The record is from RNAcentral.
UUUUCCCCCUUGGUACACUUUUCUGUCAUAUUCAAAACAUAAAUAGAAGGAUAGAGUCCUUGUUGGUCAAAAUAUUUUCAGUUAUUGAGAGAAAAUUAAUAUUUCCCAAUUUACUCCAUGUGAUAUGAAAUGGUCUCAAUCUGAUUUUUGGUAUUUCAACCAAAUAAUAGAAAAGGUGUUAUUUUUUCAGAAAAAAAUUUCCUAAAAAAUUUUUACAUGAAGUAAAUGAAGACAGUUUAUCAAGUAUCCCAUGUUGCAUGACAUCAAAAGCCAUUGUUUCUGCCUACUAUUUCAAUUCCUUUUUAUCUUCU